UACGUAGGGUGCAAGCGUUGUCCGGAAUUAUUGGGCGUAAAGAGCUCGUAGGCGGUCUGUCGCGUCUGCUGUGAAAACUCAGGGCUUAACCCUGAGCUUGCAGUGGGUACGGGCAGACUAGAGUGCGGUAGGGGAGAUUGGAAUUCCUGGUGUAGCGGUGAAAUGCGCAGAUAUCAGGAGGAACACCGGUGGCGAAGGCGGAUCUCUGGGCCAUAACUGACGCUGAGGAGCGAAAGCAUGGGGAGCGAACAGG
Molecule: ribosomal RNA, 253 nt
Filed under: uncultured bacterium
Lineage: Bacteria
Description: partial 16S ribosomal RNA
Rfam family: Bacterial small subunit ribosomal RNA
Source: RNAcentral